This 420-nucleotide ribosomal RNA is filed under the name uncultured archaeon. RNAcentral's name for it is "partial 16S ribosomal RNA". It matches the Rfam family "Archaeal small subunit ribosomal RNA", at positions 323 to 746 of the family's 1478-position model. The record is from RNAcentral.
CUACGGGUUGCUCCAGCUGAGGAUCUUUUACAAUGCACGAAAGUGUGAUAAAGCGAGCCAGAGUGUUGUUCUUAGAACAACUUUUGUCUGCUGUAAAAAGGCAGAUGAAUAAGGACUGGGUAAGACCGGUGCCAGCCGCCGCGGUAAUACCGGCGGUCCAAGUUGCAUCCAUUUUUAUUGGGUCUAAAACAUUCGUAGCUUGUUUUGUAAGUUUCUUGUGAAAUCUUAUGUCUCAAACAUGAGGCUUGCAAGAAAUACUGCAUAACUAGAGACCGGAAGGCGUAAGGAGUAUGAUUGAGGUAGCGGUAAAAUGUGUUAAUCUUAAUCAGACUAACAAUGGCGAAGGCACCUUACGAGUACGGAUCUGACAGUGAGGGAUGAAGGCUAGGGGCGCAAAACGGAUUAGAUACCCCGGUAGUC